GCACCGCCCGAGCCCGCCCCGCACGGGGCGGGGGCUCGGUGUUGGGGACCGCGGGUGGCGGGGCGCCAGCCCCGUCCGCGGCCCUGAAAGGCAGUGGCGGCCCUCCAAGGCAACCCCCAGCGUAGUAGAACUCUCUCGCUCGGGCGCCCUGGCGGGACGGCCUCGAACCCCAGACUUAUACCC
Molecule: unclassified non-coding RNA, 183 nt
Filed under: uncultured Sordariomycetes
Lineage: Eukaryota; Fungi; Ascomycota; Sordariomycetes
Description: sequence contains ITS2
Source: RNAcentral